CCUACGGGAGGCAGCAGUGGGGAAUAUUGGGCAAUGGGCGCAAGCCUGACCCAGCAACGCCGCGUGAAGGAAGAAGGCUUUCGGGUUGUAAACUUCUUUUCUCAGGGACGAAGCAAGUGACGGUACCUGAGGAAUAAGCCACGGCUAACUACGUGCCAGCAGCCGCGGUAAUACGUAGGGGGCAAGCGUUAUCCGGAUUUACUGGGUGGAAAGGGCGUGUAGGCGGGUAAGCAAGUCAGAUGUGAAAACCAUGGGCUCAACCUGUGGCCUGCAUUUGAAAAUGUUGUUCUUGAGUACUGGAGAGGCAGACGGAAUUCCUGGUGUAGCGGUGAAAUGCGUAGAGAUUAGGAGGAACACCAGUGGCGAAGGCGGUCUGCUGGACAGCAACUGACGCUGAGGCGCGAAAGCGUGGGGAGCAAACAGGAUUAGAUACCCUGGUAGUC
RNAcentral lists this ribosomal RNA (443 nucleotides) under uncultured bacterium. Its description in RNAcentral is "partial 16S ribosomal RNA". It matches the Rfam family "Bacterial small subunit ribosomal RNA", at positions 338 to 795 of the family's 1533-position model. The record is from RNAcentral.